RNAcentral lists this ribosomal RNA (500 nucleotides) under uncultured bacterium. Its description in RNAcentral is "partial 16S ribosomal RNA". It matches the Rfam family "Bacterial small subunit ribosomal RNA", at positions 30 to 523 of the family's 1533-position model. The record is from RNAcentral.
AUUGAACGCUGGCGGCAUGCCUUACACAUGCAAGUCGAACGGCAGCGGGGACUUCGGUCCGCCGGCGAGUGGCGAACGGGUGAGUAAUGUAUCGGAACGUACCAUUCAGUGGGGGAUAACUAUCCGAAAGGAUAGCUAAUACCGCAUAUUCUGUGAGCAGGAAAGCAGGGGAUCGCAAGACCUUGCGCUGAUUGAGCGGCCGAUAUCAGAUUAGCUAGUUGGUGAGGUAAAGGCUCACCAAGGCGACGAUCUGUAGCGGGUCUGAGAGGAUGAUCCGCCAAACUGGAACUGAGACACGGUCCAGACUCCUACGGGAGGCAGCAGUGGGGAGUUUUGGACAAUGGGGGCAACCCUGAUCCAGCCAUGCCGCGUGAGUGAAGAAGGCCUUCGGGUUGUAAAGCUCUUUCGGCCGGGAAAAAAUCGCAUGGGUUAAUACCCUGUGUGGAUGAUGGUACCGGAAUAAGAAGCACCGGCUAACUACGUGCCAGCCGCCGCGGUAA